AACGAACGCUGGCGGCGUGGAUAAGACAUGCAAGUCGAGCGCUGAUUACAGGGUAGCAAUAUUCUGUAGUUGGAGCGGCGCAAGGGUGCGUAACACGUGGGUAAUCUGCCAUGAAGUUUGGAAUAACUCGCUGAAAGGCGAGCUAAUGCCGGAUGUGAAAGCUGGGAGGCAUCUCUUGGUUUUCAAAGCUGGGGACCGUAAGGCCUGGCGCUUCAUGAUGAGCCCGCGGCCUAUCAGCUAGUUGGUAAGGUAACGGCUUACCAAGGCUAAGACGGGUAGCUGGUCUGAGAGGACGACCAGCCACACUGGAACUGAGACACGGUCCAGACACCUACGGGUGGCAGCAGUCGAGAAUUUUUCACAAUGGGCGCAAGCCUGAUGGAGCGACGCCGCUGGGGGAUGAAUGGCUUCGGCCCGUAAACCCCCUGUCAUUUGCGAUCAACCGUUGUUGUUUAAGAGAUGACAACCUGAUAGUAGCGAAAGAGGAAGGGACGG
RNAcentral lists this ribosomal RNA (495 nucleotides) under uncultured bacterium. RNAcentral's name for it is "bacterial SSU rRNA". It matches the Rfam family "Bacterial small subunit ribosomal RNA", at positions 29 to 496 of the family's 1533-position model. The record is from RNAcentral.